This 467-nucleotide ribosomal RNA is filed under the name uncultured bacterium. RNAcentral describes it as "partial 16S ribosomal RNA". It matches the Rfam family "Bacterial small subunit ribosomal RNA", at positions 28 to 507 of the family's 1533-position model. The record is from RNAcentral.
GACGAACGCUGGCGGCGUGCUUAACACAUGCAAGUCGAACGGAAAGGCCCUGCUUUUGUGGGGUGCUCGAGUGGCGAACGGGUGAGUAACACGUGAGUAACCUGCCCUUGACUUUGGGAUAACUUCAGGAAACUGGGGCUAAUACCGGAUAGGAGCUCCUGCUGCAUGGUGGGGGUUGGAAAGUUUCGGCGGUUGGGGAUGGACUCGCGGCUUAUCAGCUUGUUGGUGGGGUAGUGGCUUACCAAGGCUUUGACGGGUAGCCGGCCUGAGAGGGUGACCGGCCACAUUGGGACUGAGAGACGGCCCAGACUCCUACGGGAGGCGCAGUGGGGAAUAUUGCACAAUGGGCGGAAGCCUGAUGCAGCAACGCCGCGUGCGGGAUGACGGCCUUCGGGUUGUAAACCGCUUUCGCCUGUGACGAAGCGUGAGUGACGGUAAUGGGUAAAGAAGCACCGGCUAACUACGUG